AUUGAACGCUGGCGGCAGGCCUAACACAUGCAAGUCGAGCGGAUGAAGGGAGCUUGCUCCUGGAUUCAGCGGCGGACGGGUGAGUAAUGCCUAGGAAUCUGCCUGGUAGUGGGGGAUAACGUCCGGAAACGGGCGCUAAUACCGCAUACGUCCUGAGGGAGAAAGUGGGGGAUCUUCGGACCUCACGCUAUCAGAUGAGCCUAGGUCGGAUUAGCUAGUUGGUGGGGUAAAGGCCUACCAAGGCGACGAUCCGUAACUGGUCUGAGAGGAUGAUCAGUCACACUGGAACUGAGACACGGUCCAGACUCCUACGGGAGGCAGCAGAGGGGAAUAUUGGACAAAGGGCGAAAGCCUGAUCCAGCCAUGCCGAGUGUGUGAAGAAGGUCUUCGGAUUGUAAAGCACUUUAAGUUGGGAGGAAGGGAAGUAAGUUAAUACCUUGCUGUUUUGACGUUACCAACAGAAUAAGCACCGGCUAACUUCGUG
RNAcentral lists this ribosomal RNA (484 nucleotides) under uncultured bacterium. RNAcentral describes it as "partial 16S ribosomal RNA". It matches the Rfam family "Bacterial small subunit ribosomal RNA", at positions 30 to 507 of the family's 1533-position model. The record is from RNAcentral.